Molecule: transfer RNA, 72 nt
Filed under: Camelus bactrianus (Bactrian camel)
Lineage: Eukaryota; Metazoa; Chordata; Mammalia; Artiodactyla; Camelidae
Also listed under: 2 other names
Rfam family: tRNA
About the family: Transfer RNA (tRNA) molecules are approximately 80 nucleotides in length.
Source: Rfam by way of RNAcentral
AAGGGUAUAGCUCAGUGGUAGAGUACAUGCCUAGCAUGCAUAAGGUCCUGGAUUCAAUCCCCAGUACCUCAA